This 238-nucleotide ribosomal RNA is filed under the name uncultured bacterium. RNAcentral's name for it is "partial 16S ribosomal RNA". It matches the Rfam family "Bacterial small subunit ribosomal RNA", at positions 796 to 1041 of the family's 1533-position model. The record is from RNAcentral.
CACGCCGUAAACGAUGGAUACUAGCUGUUGGGGGCAACUUCAGUGGCUAAGCGAAAGUGAUAAGUAUCCCACCUGGGGAGUACGUUCGCAAGAAUGAAACUCAAAGGAAUUGACGGGGGCCCGCACAAGCGGUGGAGCAUGUGGUUUAAUUCGAUGAUACGCGAGGAACCUUACCAAGGCUUAAAUGUAGAUUGACCGAUUUGGAAACAGAUCUUUCGCAAGACAAUUUACAAGGUGC